RNAcentral lists this non-coding RNA (82 nucleotides) under bovine gut metagenome. RNAcentral describes it as "Glycine riboswitch". It matches the Rfam family "Glycine riboswitch aptamer", at positions 9 to 86 of the family's 94-position model. From Rfam's summary of the family: This family represents the bacterial glycine riboswitch. The record is from RNAcentral.
GAACUUUGGAGAACCUCAUUUUACAUGGGUGCCGAAGGUGAAAGCUUUUCUUAAGCGAAUCUCUCAGGCAAAAGGACAAAGA